Molecule: ribosomal RNA, 450 nt
Filed under: uncultured Glomus
Lineage: Eukaryota; Fungi; Glomeromycota; Glomeromycetes; Glomerales; Glomeraceae
Description: SSU rRNA
Rfam family: Eukaryotic small subunit ribosomal RNA
Source: RNAcentral
AGCAGCCGCGGUAAUUCCAGCUCCAAUAGCGUAUAUUAAAGUUGUUGCAGUUAAAAAGCUCGUAGUUGAAUUUCGGGGUCAGUAGGUUGGUCAUGCCUUCGGUAUGUACUGGUCUCACUGAUUCCUCCUUCUUGAAGAUCCGUAAUGUCAUUAAUUUGGUGUUGCGGGGAAUCAGGACUGUUACUUUGAAAAAUUAGAGUGUUUAAAGCAGGCUUACGCUUGAAUACAUUAGCAUGGAAUAAUGAAAUAGGACGUUUGAUCCUAUUUUGUUGGUUUCUAGGAUUGACGUAAUGAUUAAUAGGGAUAGUUGGGGGCAUUAGUAUUCAAUUGUCAGUGGUGAAAUUCUUGGAUUUAUUGAAGACUAACUACUGCGAAAGCAUUUGCCAAGGAUGUUUUCAUUAAUCAAGAACGAAAGUUAGGGGAUCGAAGACGAUCAGAUACCGUCGUAGU